UAUAACUCCAGGAGAACUGAGACCUUGUCAACUACACCAGCAGUGGAAAUCAGCUCAUCUGGACUGUCUUCCGUAAUAUAUUCCCCUCAAGUCAAAGAUGGGCACAAGUGACAGGAACCAUUAGGAAGCUCUCACCAGACAGAGACGUGGCAGAACGUGCCGAAUCGCCCUCACAGCGG
Peromyscus maniculatus bairdii (prairie deer mouse) is the source of this 179-nucleotide non-coding RNA. Lineage: Eukaryota; Metazoa; Chordata; Mammalia; Rodentia; Cricetidae. The record is from RefSeq and is a predicted model, not a curated record.